UGCACCACUUCAUCUACAGAGUAAAAACUGAUUCCUUCUUCAUGACCAACUGUAGACAGUACAUAAUUUGCACUAACUAAUAACGUAUUCCAUUAACCUGGCUUUUUUCAUAGUUACUUUUAGAACUAAAAAAAAAAACAACUUAUUUCCCUUUACUUUUUAAAAGUAAAGAUGGGAAGCUUUUUAUGUAUCGAUUCCAUACGUUUAUUGAGAACGAAGUUUGCUACUGCAGUACACAAAAUAGAAGAAUUAUGCAGUCGAUUGGGGGAGUGAGGGCGGCGGAAAAUUCGUCAUCGGCGUCGAUGCCGGCUCCGGAGUUACAGUGAUCCCACAGAGCAAUCGAGCUGCUUUCGAACUCCAAGAAGAUAGUGCCUCUGCCCAAUCCUUUAGAAUCUCAAAUUUGAUCUGAUUCCCACCUCUAUUCGGAAUACAAUAGGCCAUUGCCCUCUAAUCAAAUCUAUCUCAACUUUCUGCAAAAUAACAGUGAGGACUCUCUUAAAAGAAUCUUGAAUAAGAUUUUUUGGCUAAAGAAUGGAUCCUGUAGUAAAUGAUGUGGAUGAAAAGGUGAAGGCA
This 573-nucleotide long non-coding RNA is filed under the name Olea europaea subsp. europaea. Lineage: Eukaryota; Viridiplantae; Streptophyta; Magnoliopsida; Lamiales; Oleaceae. The record is from RNAcentral.